UACGGGGGGGGCAAGCGUUGUUCGGAAUUACUGGGCGUAAAGGGCGCGUAGGCGGUUGGAUAAGUCAGCUGUGAAAACCACGGGCUUAACUCGUGGCCUGCAGUUGAGACUGUCUGGCUUGAGUGUGGGAGAGGAGAGUGGAAUUCCUGGUGUAGCGGUGAAAUGCGCAGAUAUCAGGAGGAACACCAAUUGCGAAGGCAGCUCGCUGGGACGUGACUGACGCUGAGACGCGAAAGCGUGGGGAGCAAACAGG
RNAcentral lists this ribosomal RNA (253 nucleotides) under uncultured bacterium. RNAcentral's name for it is "partial 16S ribosomal RNA". It matches the Rfam family "Bacterial small subunit ribosomal RNA", at positions 524 to 776 of the family's 1533-position model. The record is from RNAcentral.